Molecule: long non-coding RNA, 2059 nt
Organism: Daucus carota subsp. sativus
Lineage: Eukaryota; Viridiplantae; Streptophyta; Magnoliopsida; Apiales; Apiaceae
Exons: 2
Source: RefSeq, a predicted model, not a curated record
UUUAAAAUUUAUUAAGGCUUUAAACUUGCAAGCCUGGCCGUAGAACCGGACUCCUUAUGAUCUAGAUAUACAUUUUUUGUAGUAGCGGUAGUUAACUAAUUAUUACUACAACAUCUUUUUUAAUGGAAUGCUUCUAGUUGAAUUUUAAUUGUGAAAUUCUAUACUACUAGUGAAUCAUACUCUCAGCUGUCCGCCGGUGUUUUUUUUCCAAGAGCAAGAGAAUUAAGUCCAAAACACUUUUGUACAGAGUUAACUCUUCUCUUCGUUUUGAGAGUCGAUUAUCGUAGUUAGGAUUUCAGCUAUCAUUUCUCCGCCUUCCAUCUUCCUUACCAGUUAACCUCUUUCGCUCUCUUAUCCACUCUUCUAUUUUACCAGUCUUUGAGUAAAAUCCAAAUCUAUUUUUUUCUGGAUAAGAUCUUAUUGAAUACCUUAAUAUCAACGUUGUUGUUGGAAGUUUGUCAUUUUGAGCACAAAUUUGAGUGAGGCUCGGCUACGUGCUCGUGGCGGGUUAUGCUUGGAUUAUGUUCUCCUCCGAAAGAGCUUUCCAAUGCAUGUUUAUUCACUCAAAACGACUAAGGAAUGGAUGAGUUGUGAUGAUCCAAAGUUGCUUCCUUGGUAGUGGAAAAUUGGAAAAGAGAGCUAGUAUCCCACAUAGAAAGGAAUAUGGGCCUUCAAUGGCCUUAUAUAGUAGAACACUCUUGUAGUGUUUAACUUGUGUUAGUGUGUUAUGCUCCACCACCUAUGUGCGCGCAGGGGGGUGCAAAUUGUGGGAUUUCGAGGCAAAUCUCGUGGCUUCGCAAGCCUCGGGUUUUUCCGCGUGUGCGACCUGCGGACACGAAUGCAGCAAAAGUCUUGCAUUGCCUAUAUAUAUUCAUUAUAGUUCUCAGCCUUGUUCUGGUUCGUCGAAGGUGCUUCUCGCAUCGUCAAUCCGUUUUAUCCUGGGAGGCGAUCAUUCAUCACAUACGAUCUAUAAAGACUUGCGUGGAUUUUGGAACAAUGGAGGAUACCACAGGAGCUCACCUUUGACAACAAAAAUGUGUUCAUAUUAUGGAGGCAUUUGAUGCUCUAGCAUUAGUUGAUUAGCAUCGAUGGCCGAACAGAGUUUAAUAUGAUUAUCAAUAAAUUGAAGUAUACAAUGCUCGGAGGCAUACAAUACAGAAGUAGACUCAAGCAUGAUUUUGAACCAACUCCAACUGCUUGUGAGUUGGAAGGAAGGACUUGGCCAUAAAAUCCCGUCUUCAAUUAUAUAAACUCCAAAUAUUCCACUCAAAUUUUAGUUCCUAAUUUUAUAUCCUCUUACAAAAUACCUGAUUAGCAUCAAACGCCACUCGAAUUCUCGUCCUACAAAAAAUUGGCUCUGCUCUUAAUACACGCCAAACUUUAGCAUGAAUCGGAUCUCCGAGCCCUGCUAACUAAGUAUAUAACCUGAAAACUUGCUCAACUCAAACUCAUUUUUUAUUAUAAUAAAUAUAAUCUAUACAUUUUUUUAUUAUUUGUAUAUAUUCAAUUUAUUAACUUCUGAGAUUACAGAAAAAAAAAUAGAAACUCAGUCCGACUACUUUUAUUCCCAAAUGUGUGAAAUUAUUGAACUCAAACGAGGUGCUCGAACUUUGAAUAUGAAUAUAGGAAUUUACUCUUUUUUGUUAGAAAGUGUAGAAUACAUUUCCAUUAUUAUGUAUGAUAAACCAACAAAACAACGUCAGUUGCAACUACUUAAUUUCACUGCAUUGUCCUGAAGAUAGAGCAGAAAUGAGAAAUAAGUAUAUCAACAUAUAUUAGCAAUAUACACACACAUGAACAUAUACAUCAAAGGGGAAAAAAAAAAAAACUGGAAUCUCAAGCAGAGAAGAAGCCAGAAACAGCAGCCACAGCAAUUUGAGACUUAGGAUUCAGACCCAACACCUUGUUAUCACUUUGAUAAUCUCCUUGGAAUCUAACUUUAAUCCAAGAAUACCCAUCUUCAAUCUUGCGGAACACCUCAAUCUCUUGGCUUUUCUUCUUCAUCAUCUUCUCGUACUCCUCAGCUAGUAACAUAGCUAUAUCUGCCAUUGAAUAAAAU